AUUUACCACAACGUCUUCUCAUUUGGUCCAACUCAAGAUGGACCUAAGCAUUUGGAGCUCUACUUCUAUGAUGAUGAUCCCAGUUUACAACAUAGGUUUCGGCGCUCCCCAAACCUAGACCGAGAUGUCAUUCGUAAGCUUGUCGACAUCCUCAAGGAUAAUCCUUAUUCUGAGACAUUCAGGAAUCUAGGUGGAGUCGAUGACCUUGAGGAAUACCGUAUUGAACUAAACACCGACAUGAGGUUGGACCAACGGAGAUAUAACUUGCCUAUAUCAUCGGAGGUUGCGGCUAUUUGGGUUGAGGGUAAUGAACUAUGUAAGCACUUUGAUCGUAGCAUAGUACUAUUUGGUAAGGACAACAAGAGAUAUAGCAUCCAGCCAUAUUAUGGAUGCUAUGAUCCGUUGUCUUACCCUUUAUUCUUUCCAAGAGGGGAGAUUGGUUGGCAUCCCGAAAUCCCGAAGAAUGGCGUCAACUUGAAUGAGAUACUUCAAUCUCGUCGCACUGGUCGACAUAGUCUAGGUAAUUCAUAUAACGGAAAUAGCAUGUGUUCAUUUUGUUUAUCCUCAUUGUACUUACUUUUCUUAAUAUUUCCUCUUGUUACCUCUCAUUUCCAUAGGUACAUAUACAAAUAG
Molecule: ribosomal RNA, 633 nt
Filed under: Triticum aestivum (bread wheat)
Lineage: Eukaryota; Viridiplantae; Streptophyta; Magnoliopsida; Poales; Poaceae
Description: partial small subunit ribosomal RNA
Source: RNAcentral